CAGCCGCCGCGGUAAUACGAAGGGGGCUAGCGUUGCUCGGAACCACUGGGCGUAAAGGGUGCGUAGGCGGGUUUUUAAGUCAGAGGUGAAAUCCUGGAGCUCAACUCCAGAACUGCCUUUGAUACUGAAAGUCUUGAGUAUGGGAGAGGUGAGUGAAACUGCGAGUGUAGAGGUGAAAUUCGUAGAUAUUCGCAAGAACACCAGUGGCGAAGGCGGCUCACUGGCCCAUAACUGACGCUGAGGCACGAAAGCGUGGGGAGCAAACAGGAUUAGAUACCCCCGUAGUCCCUGUCUCUUAUAC
This 301-nucleotide ribosomal RNA is filed under the name uncultured bacterium. Its description in RNAcentral is "partial 16S ribosomal RNA". It matches the Rfam family "Bacterial small subunit ribosomal RNA", at positions 509 to 807 of the family's 1533-position model. The record is from RNAcentral.